Molecule: ribosomal RNA, 492 nt
Filed under: uncultured bacterium
Lineage: Bacteria
Description: partial 16S ribosomal RNA
Rfam family: Bacterial small subunit ribosomal RNA
Source: RNAcentral
AGUGAACGCUGGCGGUAGGCCUAACACAUGCAAGUCGAACGGCAGCACAGUAAGAGCUUGCUCUUACGGGUGGCGAGUGGCGGACGGGUGAGGAAUACAUCGGAAUCUACUUUUUCGUGGGGGAUAACGUAGAGAAACUUACGCUAAUACCGCAUACGACCUACGGGUGAAAGCAGGGGAUCUUCGGACCUUGCGCGAUUGAAUGAGCCGAUGUCGGAUUAGCUAGUUGGCGGGGUAAAGGCCCACCAAGGCGACGAUCCGUAGCUGGUCUGAGAGGAUGAUCAGCCACACUGGAACUGAGACACGGUCCAGACUCCUACGGGAGGCAGCAGUGGGGAAUAUUGGACAAUGGGCGCAAGCCUGAUCCAGCCAUACCGCGUGGGUGAAGAAGGCCUUCGGGUUGUAAAGCCCUUUUGUUGGGAAAGAAAAGCAGCAGGUUAAUACCCCGCUGUUCUGACGGUACCCAAAGAAUAAGUACCGGCUAACUUCGUG